Cynocephalus volans (Philippine flying lemur) is the source of this 107-nucleotide small nuclear RNA. Lineage: Eukaryota; Metazoa; Chordata; Mammalia; Dermoptera; Cynocephalidae. The record is from RefSeq and is a predicted model, not a curated record.
GUGCUUGCUUCAGCAGCACACAUACUAAAAUUAGAACAAUGCAGAGAAGACUAGCAUGGCCCCUGUGCAAAAAUAGCCCAUUGCCUAUUUAACAGUGUGGAUGGUAA